AAGACCUUGCGCUUUUGGAGCGGCCGAUGCCUGAUUAGCUUGUUGGUAAGGUAAAAGCUUACCAAGGCUUCGAUCAGUAGCUGGUCUGAGAGGACGGCCAGCCACACUGGGACUGAGACACGGCCCAGACUCCUACGGGAGGCAGCAGUGGGGAAUUUUGGACAAUGGGGGCAACCCUGAUCCAGCCAUGCCGCGUGAGUGAAGAAGGCCUUCGGGUUGUAAGGCUCUUUCAGCCGGAACGAAACGGUUACGGUUAAUACCCGUGAUUACUGACGGUACCGGAAGAAGAAGCACCGGCUAACUACGUGCCAGCAGCCGCGGUAAUACGUAGGGUGCGAGCGUUAAUCGGAAUUACUGGGCGUAAAGCGUGCGCAGGUGGUUUUGUAAGUCAGAUGUGAAAGCCCCGGGCUCAACCUGGGAACU
This 423-nucleotide ribosomal RNA is filed under the name uncultured bacterium. Its description in RNAcentral is "bacterial SSU rRNA". It matches the Rfam family "Bacterial small subunit ribosomal RNA", at positions 207 to 622 of the family's 1533-position model. The record is from RNAcentral.